GCAAGUACAAACAUUGUUCGCCACGCUGGAGUGCUGACAUGGCAAUACGCAUGAACGUUUUUACACGCGUCGAGUUUUGAUUGUAUUUAUCUUCAAAACAACAUUAACUUCCUUCUUUUUUUUACGGUGGUAAAAUUAACCAAUCCACACUAUCUAAUUGGUACUGUGAUCAUUACAAGUUACAUAAAAAAAAAGAAAAAAAAAAAAACCGAAUCCGUUACUCUCCUAAUAAUAAUUCUAUGACCAAAAAAAAGUAACAAAGAAACGACUCAAUAACUUUUCCGCCAAUUUCGG
Molecule: long non-coding RNA, 294 nt
Filed under: Capsella rubella
Lineage: Eukaryota; Viridiplantae; Streptophyta; Magnoliopsida; Brassicales; Brassicaceae
Description: long non-coding RNA (CRUB_LNC004510)
Source: RNAcentral